CCGGCCACCAUCACAUCUAGGAAGUGAGGAGCGCCUCUGCCCGGCCGCCCAUCAUCUGGGAUGUGAGGAGCACCUCUGCCCGGCUGCGACCCCGUCUGGGAGGUGAGGAGCAUCUCUGCCCGGCCGCCCCAUCUGAGAAGUGAGGAGACCCUCUGCCCGGCAACUGCCCCGUCUGAGAAGUGAGGAGCCCCUCCGCCCGGCAGCCGCCCCGUCUGAGAAAUGAGGAGCCUCUCCGCCCGGCAGCCACCCAGUCUGGGAACUGAGGAGCGUCUCCGCCCGGCAGCCACCCCGUCCGGGAGGGAGGUGGGGGCGUCAGCCCCCCGCCCGGCCAGCCGCCCCGUCCGGGAGGGAGGUGGGGGGGUCAGCCCCCCACCCGGCCAGCCGCCCCGUCCAGGAGGUGAGGGGCGCCUCUGCCCGGCUGCCCCUACUGGGAAGUGAGGAGCCCCUCUGCCCGGCCAGCCGCCCCAUCCGGGAGGGAGGUGGGGUGGUCAGCCCCCUGCCCGGCCAGCCGCCCCGUCCGGGAGGGGAGGGGCGCCUCUGCCCGGCCGCCCCUACUGGGAAGUGAGGAGCCCCUCUGCCCGGCCACCACCCCGUCUGGGAGGUGUGCCCAACAGCUCAUUGAGAAUGGGCCCGGAUGACAAUGGCGGCUUUGUGGAAUAGAAAGGCGGGAAAGGUGGGGAAAAGAUUGAGAAAUCGGAUGGUUGCCGUGUCUGUGUAGAAAGAAGUAGACAUGGGAGACUUUUCAUUUUGUUCUGUACUAAGAAAACUUCUUCUGCCGUGGGAUCCUG
This 788-nucleotide long non-coding RNA is filed under the name Homo sapiens (human). RNAcentral's name for it is "HSALNT0352775". The record is from RNAcentral. Lineage: Eukaryota; Metazoa; Chordata; Mammalia; Primates; Hominidae.